GACAUCUUCAUGUUAGGAGAUGGUUAUCCGCACAUAUUGGUCAACAAUGUGAAAUUCAGCUCCGUACGAUUUUUCUGAAUACAGUUCCUUCAAUUAUCACGUUAAAUGAACCGUUGAAUUUAUAAUAAAAUUGGCUUGCAUCGCGUCUUCUUCGGUCGAAUAUAACGAGAAUUUUAUAGCGAGUUAAAAUUUCAUAACACGUGCACAAAUUUCAAUUUUUUUUCGUUGGCAGCAUUCCAAAGUUAUAUUUUCGAGGCGUUCGUGUUCUGUAUAGUCUACACAAAUUUUAUCAUAACGUGGCUAAGUAAAUUGACAAUAAUAAUAAAAACACAUGGCAACAAUGCGAAGAAGAAAACGCCAUUCUAGUCGUCCUUCAAGGAUGCCAUCAAGCCCUGAACCGCGAACACGACGUAAUAAUAUACAAGUAAAACGCGGCACGAUUGCACGAUACACGAUGUAAUUUUUUCGAUCCAAUGUGCUAGACGUUAAAUAUUGUGCUUAUACACGUAGACUCUUGGUUUGAGAUAAUGGCCAAUGGUCAAUCAUUUCGACCAUGUCUGAACUGAUACAAUUCCGGCAUGUGCAAAGAGACAAUAAGGUCAGUUCAGCCGGAAUAUCAACAGAACCGGCCAUAAUGAUCAAAUUUAUGGUACGUCAAACGAGAGUACUGCACAAAAAGGCACUGGGCAGCACAAUGCACAAAUGACCCAAAUGAUGCAUAAGGAACAGCAACGGACCAAAAUGCAGAACAGCCGCGCCGGAGCCCUAUCUUCACUCACCACUCAAAAACAAACACACUAUAAGAAAUUAACACGGAAAUUCGACUACGACAGGAAAGUAUCUCAAAUUCAAUCAAAUUUAAACAAAAUUUUGAAAAUCAAGCCACUCAAUACUCUGCAAACCGCACCAAAAGAAUUUCAAAAUUAGGUAAAUUUACCUUUACCUACCUAUCUUUUAUCUCCAAAGUGUUUCGGAGUCAUAAAAAUUCCUUUACUGAUACGAAAAAUUAAUUAUCAAUUACGUAUUUACACUUCAUUAGUAAUACAGACAUCGCUUCAAUAUUCUUAUCAAUUCGGAAAUUCAUAAAAAAGAAAAAGGGAUUUUUCCAAACUCACCUACUACACAUUUUCAACAAAAUUUACAUCAUCAAAAAUCACCACAAGUGUAUAAAUAAUUGAAAAAAUUUCGCCGAACACUGAACUUUUGUAAACAAUCAUAAAAAAAACGUGAUACAAAAUCGAAUCGAACCACCUUUUCCAGCAGAACCGAAUAGCAAUUGAAAAUGACUCGUUUUGUUCUCU
Long non-coding RNA from Planococcus citri (citrus mealybug), 1301 nucleotides. RefSeq lists it as uncharacterized. The record is from RefSeq and is a predicted model, not a curated record. Lineage: Eukaryota; Metazoa; Arthropoda; Insecta; Hemiptera; Pseudococcidae. The transcript is spliced from 2 exons.